RNAcentral lists this long non-coding RNA (2965 nucleotides) under Brassica napus (rape). Its description in RNAcentral is "long non-coding RNA (BNAP_LNC015289)". The record is from RNAcentral. Lineage: Eukaryota; Viridiplantae; Streptophyta; Magnoliopsida; Brassicales; Brassicaceae.
AACCUUUACCCAACUGGGAGUCUAUUGCUAAGCAGUCAAUGGCCAACGCUAAACAAUCAAUGGCGUCCUUUAACUAUCCUUUCUACGCGGUUUCUGCGCCUGCUAGUCCCACUCAUCGCCAGUUUCAUGCUCCGGCGACUAUACCUGAGUGUGAUGAGUCUGACGCGUCCACUGUUGACUCUGGUCAUUGGAUAAGCUUUCAGAAGUUUGCACAACAGCAACCAUUAUCUGGCUCUAUGGUGCCAACAUCUCCUACUUUCAAUCUUGUGAAACCUCCUCCUGUGCCUCAGCAUAUGUCUCCAAAUGCUGCUGGCGUGUUCCAAGAGAUUGGUCAAAGCUCUGAGUUUAAAUUUGAGAAUAGACAAGUUAAGCCGUGGGAAGGAGAGAUGAUACAUGAUGUUGGUAUGGAGGAUCUGGAGCUUACACUUGGAAACGGCAAGGCUCGUGGUUGACUUUGAUCACUUGAAACUGAGAAGCUAUUCUUCUUCCAGGUAUCUCUGGAUCGUUAUGGAAUCUCAUUUGUUCAAUUCAUGAGCUUGAUUUCAAAAGCAUUAUUUGUAGAUAAAGAUAUGUCAAGAUGUAUGAAUAUUAUUAUGUUUCCUUACAAAUGUUAACAUUCAUGAGCGGCUUGAAAGCGUUGUGUGUUGUCUUUAUCAAAUUAAUUGGUGAUGUAUCAUGUCUUGAGCCCAUUUUGCUUCUCAACAUCAAAGAUCCAUAAUUUGCGUAACAUGUUUUGUGACAAAUCUGUAUUUCCUUGCAGUUCAAUAUUUUUGUCAAAAACUAACACAUAUCAUCAAAUAUCUAGUUAGACAAAGCUAGCUAGAAGAAUAACACAACUACCUACAAAUGCUACAUUUCAUAAUGAAUACACUCUUGAGUUGAGUCUGUCUUCUGAAUACAAACAAGUCACAUGGAACGCAAAUUGAGUGCGGUCAGUCUCAGCAUUACAUUCUUGGUAUCUGAAGCAAGCUGUAAGAUGGUCAUUCACAAAAGUUUGAAAGCCAUCCCAACACAACUCCAUCUCAACCUUAGCCUCACCUUCGCAUGCCGUUUCUUUUUCCCUUUUUCUUUCUAACGGCUAACCACUAAAAUCCUUAUUGAUGGGCCUCAUCAACUCUUUAAAGCCUCAUCAACAAACAAACAAGAAUUGGUGUAAAGCUGUGUGUAUUAAAAACUCUGCAACAUCUUUUGAUUCACAACCGUAACUGUACACUUCUACUGCAUAGCCCUUGAGUAAAGAACUAAAAGACUAAAAGAUUUAUCUUCCUUUAAACUGGUCCGAGAGUGUUGAAAUGGUCCCAUGCUUCCUAUAAGAUUGAACCAGACAAAAAGAAAGAAUUUAGAUUCAAACGAUCCUGCAAUUUUUUAGAAUCAUCACAAACAUUUUAUUUGCUUGUGAGAGAGAACCUGUAAUAACUCGAAAACUUUUUCAGCCAUGUAUUUCUGGUUGUCAGAAGCACCCUUCGGUUGUAGCUUAUCUGGAUGAAGGAUUAGUAAUGCUCUCUGGUACGAUUUUCGAACUGCGUUUCCUUCUAUCAAGUCCAUAAGUGGAACCGCCUUCCAUCCACACCCGGGCCAUAGAAUCUGUCAAGUAAAGCUUCCAUAACAUUACUUGUGCAAAAGGGCUAAUCCGUAGACCCAAUAUGUUACCUCUGAUAGAAUACUUACAUACUGCAGUGUGGACAACAGAGACCGGAUGUUUCCGCUCUUCACUUAUCGCAAGGUCAAUCCCCAAUCUAAUUUUCAGAUCUGAGCUUAUCUCUGUAUAGAUAGUGUAAAUCUAAUGACUUUCAAUUGAGGGCUUGAAUCUGAUUCGAGCCUUCUUUUGAUUAAAGAUCAUGUCUUUAUUAAACGGAUCUAAUGUCUUAAAAAGUUAAAUUUAGCAUUUUUAUUACUAAUCUCAGAGUGAUACGUGUGUUUUGUAAGAAACAGCUAAUGGUCGUUAGGACCAAAGCUCUAAAAAACAUGUCGGAACCUCAGCUUCUUGUCUUACUUUUCUGAUAGAUUCACAUCUUAAAUCAAUUGUAAUUCAGUAGUUCUGCUUCUUGAGCUAUUAGCAGUCUUAAAGUCUUUACUUGAAUCCAAAGUCUUUGCAGUUAUUUCCUUACCGCUGAUUUAGUUCUAUAAUGGUCGUUAGGACAAAAGCCUUAAAACAUGUCCGAACCUCAGGGCAUUGGUUUUUUUUUUGCAGUUUUUGUCUGAAAUGUCUUUGCAUUUGUUUCCUUACCGCUGAUUGAUUCUGACAUUGUUUGUUUGUUUGUUUCAUUUAAAUCAACAGGGAUGCAAGCCUCUACCUAGUGAGAUAGCUGGGACAUCGUAUCAUCAUUACUCAUCCCAAAACCAAAGCCCUCUUUCUUCAGCCUUUCAAAGUCCCAUCCCUUCUUACCAAGUCAGCCCUUCUUCCUCAUCUUUCCCCAGUCCUUCUCGUGGUGAACCAAACAACAACAGCUCCCCCUUCUUCCCCUUCCUCGGAAACGAAGGCAUCCCUUCCUCUCUUCCUUCCCUCAGAAUCUCAAACAGUUGUCCCGUCACUCCACCGCUCUCAUCUCCAACUUCCAAGAACCCUAAACCUUUACCCAACUGGGAGUCUAUUGCUAAGCAGUCAAUGGCCAACGCUAAACAAUCAAUGGCGUCCUUUAACUAUCCUUUCUAUGCGGUUUCUGCGCCUGCUAGUCCCACUCAUCGCCAGUUUCAUGCUCCGGCGACUAUACCUGAGUGUGAUGAGUCUGACGCGUCCACUGUUGACUCUGGUCAUUGGAUAAGCUUUCAGAAGUUUGCACAACAGCAACCAUUAUCUGGCUCUAUGGUGCCAACAUCUCCUACUUUCAAUCUUGUGAAACCUCCUCCUGUGCCUCAGCAUAUGUCUCCAAAUGCUGCUGGCGUGUUCCAAGAGAUUGGUCAAAGCUCUGAGUUUAAAUUUGAGAAUAGACAAGUUAAGCCGUGGGAAGGAGAGAUGAUACAUGAU